RNAcentral lists this transfer RNA (72 nucleotides) under Erinaceus europaeus (western European hedgehog). Its description in RNAcentral is "tRNA (ENSEEUG00000023929.1)". The record is from RNAcentral. Lineage: Eukaryota; Metazoa; Chordata; Mammalia; Eulipotyphla; Erinaceidae.
AGGUUGAAACCAAAUUGAAUAGGUAUUUAGCUGUUAACUAAAAUUUUACGGGAUAGAGGCCGUCAAUCUAGU